GACGAACGCUGGCGGCGUGCUUAACACAUGCAAGUCGAACGAUGAAGCCUAGCUUGCUAGGUGGAUUAGUGGCGAACGGGUGAGUAAUACGUGAGUAACCUACCUUUAACUCUGGGAUAAGCCUGGGAAACUGGGUCUAAUACCGGAUACGACCAAUCUCCGCAUGGGGUGUUGGUGGAAAGCGUUAUGUAGUGGUUAUAGAUGGGCUCACGGCCUAUCAGCUUGUUGGUGAGGUAACGGCUCACCAAGGCGACGACGGGUAGCCGGCCUGAGAGGGUGACCGGCCACACUGGGACUGAGACACGGCCCAGACUCCUACGGGAGGCAGCAGUGGGGAAUAUUGCACAAUGGGCGCAAGCCUGAUGCAGCGACGCCGCGUGAGGGAUGACGGCCUUCGGGUUGUAAACCUCUGUUAGCAGGGAAGAAGAGAGAUUGACGGUACCUGCAGAGAAAGCGCCGGCUAACUACGUGCCAGCAGCCGCGGUAAUACGUAGGGCGCGAGCGUUGUCCGGAAUUAUUGGGCGUAAAGAGCUUGUAGGCGGUUUGUCGCGUCUGCUGUGAAGGCCGGAGCUUAACUCCGUGUAUUGCAGUGGGUACGGGCAGACUAGAGUGCAGUAGGGGAGACUGGAAUUCCUGGUGUAGCGGUGGAAUGCGCAGAUAUCAGGAGGAACACCGAUGGCGAAGGCAGGUCUCUGGGCUGUAACUGACGCUGAGAAGCGAAAGCAUAGGGAGCGAACAGGAUUAGAUACCCUGGUAGUCCAUGCCGUAAACGUUGGGCACUAGGUGUGGGGAACAUUCCACGUUUUCCGCGCCGUAGCUAACGCAUUAAGUGCCCCGCCUGGGGAGUACGGCCGCAAGGCUAAAACUCAAAGAAAUUGACGGGGGCCCGCACAAGCGGCGGAGCAUGCGGAUUAAUUCGAUGCAACGCGAAGAACCUUACCAAGGCUUGACAUAUACUGGACCGCAUCAGAGAUGGUGUUUCCCUUCGGGGCUGGUAUACAGGUGGUGCAUGGUUGUCGUCAGCUCGUGUCGUGAGAUGUUGGGUUAAGUCCCGCAACGAGCGCAACCCUCGUUCUAUGUUGCCAGCACGUUAUGGUGGGGACUCAUAGGAGACUGCCGGGGUCAACUCGGAGGAAGGUGGGGAUGACGUCAAAUCAUCAUGCCCCUUAUGUCUUGGGCUUCACGCAUGCUACAAUGGCCGGUACAGAGGGUUGCGAUACUGUGAGGUGGAGCUAAUCCCUAAAAGCCGGUCUCAGUUCGGAUUGGGGUCUGCAACUCGACCCCAUGAAGUCGGAGUCGCUAGUAAUCGCAGAUCAGCAACGCUGCGGUGAAUACGUUCCCGGGCCU
Molecule: ribosomal RNA, 1347 nt
Filed under: uncultured bacterium
Lineage: Bacteria
Description: bacterial SSU rRNA
Rfam family: Bacterial small subunit ribosomal RNA
Source: RNAcentral